This 732-nucleotide ribosomal RNA is filed under the name Pseudocercosporella sp. RH8. RNAcentral describes it as "eukaryotic LSU rRNA". It matches the Rfam family "Eukaryotic large subunit ribosomal RNA", at positions 43 to 798 of the family's 3401-position model. The record is from RNAcentral. Lineage: Eukaryota; Fungi; Ascomycota; Dothideomycetes; Mycosphaerellales; Mycosphaerellaceae.
UCAAUAAGCGGAGGAAAAGAAACCAACAGGGAUUGCCCUAGUAACGGCGAGUGAAGCGGCAACAGCUCAAAUUUGAAAUCUGGCGCAAGCCCGAGUUGUAAUUUGUAGAGGAUGCUUCUGGGCAGCGGCCGGUCUAAGUUCCUUGGAACAGGACGUCACAGAGGGUGAGAAUCCCGUAUGUGACCGGCGCGCACCCUCCACGUAGCUCCUUCGACGAGUCGAGUUGUUUGGGAAUGCAGCUCUAAAUGGGAGGUAAAUUUCUUCUAAAGCUAAAUACCGGCCAGAGACCGAUAGCGCACAAGUAGAGUGAUCGAAAGAUGAAAAGCACUUUGGAAAGAGAGUUAAAAAGCACGUGAAAUUGUUGAAAGGGAAGCGCUUGCAACCAGACUCCGCGGCGGUGUUCCGCCGGUCUUCUGACCGGUCCACUCGCCGCCGCGGGGCCAACAUCGUCUGGGGCCGCCGGACAAGACUGGAGGAAUGUAGCUCCCUCGGGAGUGUUAUAGCCUUCAGUGAUGCGGCGCGUCCCGGGCGAGGUCCGCGCUUCGGCAAGGAUGUUGGCGUAAUGGUUGCCAGCGGCCCGUCUUGAAACACGGACCAAGGAGUCUAACAUCUAUGCGGAGGUUGUUCGGGUGUCAAAACCCCUACGCGUAAAUGGAAAGUGAAACGGGAGGUGGGAGCUUUCGGCGCACCAUCGACCGAUCCUGAUGGUCCUCGGGAUGGGAUUUGAGUAAA